AUUUAUGCAAGUGUACAUAAACAAUUUCAUAAAUAACAACAAUAAAAAAAAAUAAAAAUAAAAAAUAAAACUGUCGUGAAAAUUUAAAACUGCGCACGCGUUGCAAUUUUUGAAGAGCACCAAAAAAAAAAAAAAAAAAAAAAAAUGCAACAAAAGUAAAUAACAAAUUUCAAUACAAAAAUAAAAACUAAGGAAAAAAAAAACUAUUAUCAAGAAGUAACAACCGAGGCGCAGCGUUGCGCGUGCGAAAGGGAUAGCAGCUGUUUGGCAGUUCGAUGUCGCCUUCAAGCGGCUAAGGACAAUGGUUCAAGUGCAAAGAGGAUGCCGCAACGUAAUGCAACAAACGAGUCAACAGGAGGAGGCGGGGAAUUCUAGGCGCUGGCGGCUCGUACAGGAACCAGGGAGACAGCGCAAGGACACACCGUUUACCGUGUGUGUGUGUGUGUGUGCUUGCAUACCACGACAACAGCUUGGCCGAAACACACACACACAAUGAAAAGAAACGGAGUAAGCUUUAUCUCAGCUCAGCACAAAGAUUAAACAAGUUCCUUUUCUUUCAGCUUUGACAAUGUGAAGAUGUCGAAGAAGAAGAAGAGCUGGAAAAACUACUACCUACUGGAAUUUCACAACAAUUCGCAAUGCUGCUCGUGCAUCAAUCAAAGAACUUAGUAAAUCCCAUGAGAAAUGGUGCAUACUUACAUAUGGACCAUUAACAGAAACCCGUAAAUCCGAACUUGUGCUGUUUUAUAUCUGUUACAAGACCGGCAUUAUGGGAGUCUGUCAAUGCAAACAACUUGGUUUUUGGCAACAAAGCAAAGCAACAUUGAACAAAUAGAAACUAUAAAUGAUACUAUAAAUCAAUACAACAA
Long non-coding RNA from Drosophila mojavensis, 869 nucleotides. RefSeq lists it as uncharacterized. NCBI's taxonomy places the organism in Eukaryota, Metazoa, Arthropoda, Insecta, Diptera, Drosophilidae. The transcript has 2 exons. The record is from RefSeq and is a predicted model, not a curated record.